GUUUAAGUGGCGGGCCCUGGCUCCUGGGGCUGGUGGAGGGAGGUGGGGGGAGACUCAGCAGCCUAGGUCCCAGCAGGGACCCAGGCCUCUGCCUCAGGCUGUACUGCUCCCUGCUUCCUGCCUGGCUUCUAGCUCCGGAGGAGCCCCGGAUGUCUUCCCCACUGGGCCUCUGUGUCAAGGAGGGAGUGUAUAGUCCAUGGUCGGCGUGGCUGACUGCCAGGCUGGCAGAUGGCCAGAGUCCAGAGCUCACCGGGAAGGAGCAUGAACAAGGGCCCUCGUGGGCAGCUGUGACCCAGAAUCUUCCAGCAGAAGAGCAGUGAGGAGGGAGGGAGAGGACCAGGGGGACCCUUCCCCCAUACCCCAAGCCAGCCAGGACACAGGCAUCAGCCAGCCACAGACAGCACGGAACUCCCUGGGGCACUAGACAAGCAGCUGUCACAAAAAGGGCUUCAUGAGACCAUUUUUAUGGGGCUUUUUAGCUCCAACCUUCUGGCAAAGAGAAGCCAGCAGAGACCUGGGCCUCCGAAGAUCUGCCUCAGUUGCCUGAAAUCAGAGGCUUGCCCACACAAAGACUCGAAGAUCCUGGCAGCGUGCCUGACCUGCCUCUACCCCCCAGGCACACCCCAAGCCGUCCCGGUCAGUCCCUAGACCUGCAAAGCAAAUGCCACUGGCCCUGGAGUGCCCUUGAUUAAUUCAUCUGUUAAUUUAACACUCAGUCAUGGAGCACAUUCAGAAAUGAAGUUCUUGGGGCGCCUGGGUGGCUCAGUGGGUUAAGCCGCUGCCUUCGGCUCAGGUCAUGAUCUCAGAGUCCUGGGAUCGAGNNNNNNNNNN
This 831-nucleotide long non-coding RNA is filed under the name Mustela putorius furo (domestic ferret). RNAcentral's name for it is "lncRNA (ENSMPUG00000030340.1)". The record is from RNAcentral. Lineage: Eukaryota; Metazoa; Chordata; Mammalia; Carnivora; Mustelidae.